RNAcentral lists this long non-coding RNA (236 nucleotides) under Elaeis guineensis (African oil palm). Its description in RNAcentral is "long non-coding RNA (EGUI_LNC007631)". Lineage: Eukaryota; Viridiplantae; Streptophyta; Magnoliopsida; Arecales; Arecaceae. The record is from RNAcentral.
CGUGCAGCUUUCUUUCCAAGAGUUUCUCCAUGCCAAGAUAAGUCCAAAAAAAUCCAUCUCAACCUUUGAGAUGUGUGUCAGAGAGUGAAGGAUGAUGCAGGCUACCACAUGGGUCUUAAACCCAAAGAAGAAGGACUCUUGGUCCUUCUUCACACCAAAAUGUGCACGCCCACUCCAUCUUGUGUGCCUAGAGUCCAACCAAGCUUGGACUCUUGGUUAUGGCACCCCAAUGGCCA